This is a long non-coding RNA of Sinocyclocheilus grahami, 492 nucleotides long. RefSeq lists it as uncharacterized. The transcript has 3 exons. NCBI's taxonomy places the organism in Eukaryota, Metazoa, Chordata, Actinopteri, Cypriniformes, Cyprinidae. The record is from RefSeq and is a predicted model, not a curated record.
UGCUGAAAUGGUGGGCGCAGUCGUUUCUUCCUGGAGUGCCACAGAUAGUCGCUGGGUUUCGAGACCAUGAUGGGAUAGUGGUGUCUGUUGAGACCUUCCAAACCUCGAAAAUUUCACAACUCAUCAAGAAUGAGUAUAACUGCUGGAAGCCAACAGUCUGUAUGAAUUUCUGCAACGAUUUCUUGUCCUUCGUCAAAUCAGUCGUCAAAGAGGACGGCCCUAGACUGGUGUACCUGUUCAAAUGGGAUCCACACAGAGACGUGACCUUCACCGUCCACAGAGACUCUCAGUAUACCUUCUUACCAGAGUGGUACAUAAAGGACAUGAGGAGCCAUCCUUCAUCUCACCACUGACAUACUGAGCUCACAGCCUCAGUACAUCAGGACAUCUUUGUCAUGUUUAUGAUUCAUGUACAUACUAUAUAUGUGCUGUGCAUGACUUGCCAUUGCUUGUGUUUGCUCUGGAUGCUCUGGAUUCAGUUUGUGGCCUUGG